This 887-nucleotide ribosomal RNA is filed under the name uncultured bacterium. RNAcentral describes it as "bacterial SSU rRNA". It matches the Rfam family "Bacterial small subunit ribosomal RNA", at positions 9 to 873 of the family's 1533-position model. The record is from RNAcentral.
AGAGUUUGAUCCUGGCUCAGAUUGAACGCUGGCGGCAUGCUUUACACAUGCAAGUCGAACGGCAGCGCGGGGGCAAUCCUGGUGGCGAGUGGCGAACGGGUGAGUAAUGUAUCGGAACGUGCCCAGUUGUGGGGGAUAACUACUUGAAAGAGUGGCUAAUACCGCAUACGACCUGAGGGUGAAAGCGGGGGAUCGCAAGACCUCGCGCAAUUGGAGCGGCCGAUAUCAGAUUAGCUAGUUGGCGGGGUAAAAGCCCACCAAGGCGACGAUCUGUAGCUGGUCUGAGAGGACGACCAGCCACACUGGGACUGAGACACGGCCCAUACUCCUACGGGAGGCAGCAGUGGGGAAUUUUGGACAAUGGACGCAAGUCUGAUCCAGCCAUGCCGCGUGCGGGAAGAAGGCCUUCGGGUUGUAAACCGCUUUUGUCAGGAAAGAAACGGCCUGGGAUAAUACCUUGGGCUAAUGACGGUACCUGAAGAAUAAGCACCGGCUAACUACGUGCCAGCAGCCGCGGUAAUACGUAGGGUGCAAGCGUUAAUCGGAAUUACUGGGCGUAAAGCGUGCGCAGGCGGUUAUGCAAGACAGAUGUGAAAUCCCCGGGCUCAACCUGGGAACUGCAUUUGUGACUGCAUAGCUAGAGUACGGUAGAGGGGGAUGGAAUUCCGCGUGUAGCAGUGAAAUGCAUAUAUAUGCGGAGGAACACCGAUGGCGAAAGCUUUCCGCUGUACUGUACUGACUCUCAUGCACGAAAGCGUGGGGAGCAAACAGAUAUGAUCCCCCUGGUCAGUCCACGCCCUAAACGAUGUCCAGUGGGUUGCUGGGGAGGGUUCUCUUGCACAGAAACGUUACUAACUCCUCGGUAUGUGAGCCGCUCCCGGGCGAUG